Molecule: ribosomal RNA, 529 nt
Filed under: uncultured Anaplasma sp.
Lineage: Bacteria; Pseudomonadati; Pseudomonadota; Alphaproteobacteria; Rickettsiales; Anaplasmataceae
Description: bacterial SSU rRNA
Rfam family: Bacterial small subunit ribosomal RNA
Source: RNAcentral
GUAGCUUGCUAUGAGAACGGUUAGUGGCAGACGGGUGAGUAAUGCAUAGGAAUCUACCUAGUAGUAUGGGAUAGCCACUAGAAAUGGUGGGUAAUACUGUAUAAUCCCUGCGGGGGAAAGAUUUAUCGCUAUUAGAUGAGCCUAUGUUAGAUUAGCUAGUUGGUAGGGUAAAGGCCUACCAAGGCAGUGAUCUAUAGCUGGUCUGAGAGGAUGAUCAGCCACACUGGAACUGAGAUACGGUCCAGACUCCUACGGGAGGCAGCAGUGGGGAAUAUUGGACAAUGGGCGCAAGCCUGAUCCAGCUAUGCCGCGUGAGUGAGGAAGGCCUUAGGGUUGUAAAACUCUUUCAGUGGGGAAGAUAAUGACGGUACCCACAGAAGAAGUCCCGGCAAACUCCGUGCCAGCAGCCGCGGUAAUACGGAGGGGGCAAGCGUUGUUCGGAAUUAUUGGGCGUAAAGGGCAUGUAGGCGGUUCGGUAAGUUAAAGGUGAAAUGCCAGGGCUUAACCCUGGAGCUGCUUUUAAUACUGC